UGCAGCCAUGUUGUCCUGAACACUCUCAUCCUUUUUGAUCUCAGAAGCUAAGCAGAGGUUGGCCUGCUUCAUAUUUGGAUCGGAGACCACCAGUAAUCUCCAGGUAAGGGCUAGGG
This 116-nucleotide ribosomal RNA is filed under the name Pogona vitticeps (central bearded dragon). The record is from RNAcentral. Lineage: Eukaryota; Metazoa; Chordata; Lepidosauria; Squamata; Agamidae.